CCUUCCUGACCAAUCACCAGCUCUGCUUGCCGGAACAGUGUAUAAAUUGAGAUGCUUGGUCUGAAAACCCACUUUGCUAAUUAGCUAUAUAAGUAACCACUUACAUGCUACCAGCUUUUUUUUUCAUUACAAGCGUGCAGCUUCUGCAAGCUGAGGUUUGUCGUUCACAAGCCUGUUGAACUAGAUUGCUUGGAUUUAAGCCAAUUUACUCAGCCGGCAAGUGUCCUACUUUACAGAAGCCAUACUCUAUUUGAAGGUGUCCUCCAGCUGAAGGGUUGGCCGGUCCAAGUCUAUCUUAAAGAGAAAGAACCAUAAGUAGAGAGAACAAGGACCUUAAAGUUGCCCAUCAACAGUUAACACCUGGACAGCCGACUGAGCAGGUACACAGGUCGCCUAGUCACAGUCUUCUCCGCUAUGGAUAUCUGUGGGAAUCCUGGGAACACCUGGGAGAAAAUGACAAGAACCAGAGUGCAGGAGAAAGCCAGAGUCACAUGCAUUGGGUGUGGACUACAGUUGCUGAAGAGGUUUCCAUUUUACACCAGUGCGCAUGUUGAUUCAAUUACAGUGCAAAAAAGGCACCCUGGCUGAAAGGAGCAAUUCUAGGAAGGCUGGUUGCAUUAGCGUUAUUAUUAUCAUGCUGCUUACCUCUCAUUUGCUCUGGUUUCUUUCUUUAAAACUGGAUGAACAUCCUGCAGUGGCAAAGUUUUUCUGUAUUUAAUCUUUACUAGAAAGAAAAUGAACAUUUUUUUUCUCCA
This is a long non-coding RNA of Rhineura floridana, 755 nucleotides long. RefSeq lists it as uncharacterized. The record is from RefSeq and is a predicted model, not a curated record. The transcript has 4 exons. NCBI's taxonomy places the organism in Eukaryota, Metazoa, Chordata, Lepidosauria, Squamata, Rhineuridae.